UCAUUCUCCAAACUCAAAAUCUCUCAAUCCCCAAAUUCUCUCUUUCUAUCUCUCUCACACUCCAUUGAAACACAACAUUCCUUUCUUGAUUAGGGUUCUUUUUUAUCGCUAUCGCUACUGCAAUCUUUCAUUAUCACUAACUCUGAAUUCAAUUUCAUAAUCGAUUCAUUCUACCCAAUUUGUUUUCUCUUUGCGACACUCUUUCCUUCUCCGUCAUUCAUCAUAACGCAACACGUUCGUGUAACUCGCUCACUCCACUCGCUCCGUAACUCGUUCUCGAUUUUUUCAUCAUGCCGAAGGCUAAACUUGAUAACAGGGCACCACAAUGGGCUAGUGUGAACUUAGGAAUUUUCAUUUGCAUGCAAUGUUCAGGGAUUCACCGGAGUCUUGGAGUGCAUAUAUCAAAGGACAUUAGGUAAUAUUGAUUUGAUUAGCUCUUUCUUUACUCAUGGAAGAUAUCCCUGUUGCCAAAUAGCGGCUAUAGCACUACAGUGUAGCAGAAUGUUAACAAACUACUAUUGCUCCACGAUACACGAUUCAGCACAAAGUGUUUUCAAGUAAUGGCUAUAGCUGAAUUAUAAGCCUAUAACACUAGCAUAGCGAAAUUUUAACGAACCGCUGUUUUUUGCAAUUGACUGUGCUAGAAGAUAUGAUAAUUGUUACAAAUGUUGUUUGGCUCUUGCAAGUGUAACUUAUAUGGUGUGGUUUAUGCAAAUAUGGAUAAUGUGAAGUCAAAUAAGCCCUGGGAAGCUAAACUGCCACCAAAUUUUGACAGAAAUGGAUGUGGAAUCCAGAAGUUUAUCCGUGCCAAAUAUGUGGAGAAACGAUUUACAAGGUGAACUACAAGCUACAAAGUCAGCUGAAAUAAAGUUGAACUUGAACUUCAAAAUUUCACCACCUACUGGGGCCAAGAAUGGUAUUCAACAAACUAGGAGAUUGUCUCUUGAGGAAAGCAUUCUUGUGAAUCACAUGGCACAAAUUCGGCCUCCAAUACCAAAAUUUAAUGAGGGUCCCUUAGAUUUAAAAAUGAAGAAUUCACCACCAAUAAAGAGGCCAUCAGCAUCACUUGAUUUUGAUAAACCCAUUGGAAAUAGCAACGGUACCGUCGAUCUUUUUAACUUGCUUUCCUUCGACGAUGAUAAAAAGAAUAUAUCAACUACACCUUCUAGCUGGACAACAUUUGAUUGAGAAGGUGUGCAAAUUGUUUAUAGAUUUGUUGAGCUAGCUUUUUGGAUAGAUGUCACAAGAUUAUGGUUAAAUCCGUUCGUGCAAUGUUGCACGAACAUCAAGCUGUGUUGGUCUGGCAGAACCUGAACUGCUUCGGGUCUGAUGCGGCUGGUGAUUUGCAGAAUGCUACAAUGGCUGAGCCUGCUGCUGCGCACUCAUAUUUGGCUUCUGUUAAUUUUAAAAUUCGACUCCUGGGUGAUUCAAAUGUAAUAUUGAUGCAUCCUUUGGGUCACAUUUAAAUAAAGCUGGGUUUGGAAUAUGUAUCCGUGACAAACGUGGUCAAUUUGUGAUUUCAAAGAGAGAAUGGAUUGCCCUUCUUUGUGGAGUGGAUGUGGGUGUACCUCUUGGUGAGUAUAUGUUCCCUAAUUAAUGGUAUGUCCCUCGAUGUCCCUAAAUUGGGUUUAUACCCUCGAUGUUCCUAUAUUGAAUUAAUGUACUGGAUGACCCUAAAUUGAACUUAUGUCCCUUGAUGUCCCUAAAUUGAACUUAUGUCCCUCGAUGUCCCUAAGUUGAACUUAUGUCCUUCGAUGCCCCUAAAUUGAACUUAUGUCCCUUGGUGUCCUUAUAAUUGAUUGUCUAAAUGCAAUUUCAAUGUGAAUGCUUCAUAACUUUACAUGUAAGUGGAGAAGACCCUUGGAGCCUUAGAUGCAAAAUUGAAUAUAUGUCCCUAUGUCUCUAAAUUGAAUAAUGUACCUCAA
RNA transcript from Trifolium pratense (red clover), 1925 nucleotides. RefSeq lists it as uncharacterized. Lineage: Eukaryota; Viridiplantae; Streptophyta; Magnoliopsida; Fabales; Fabaceae. The record is from RefSeq and is a predicted model, not a curated record. The transcript is spliced from 7 exons.